This 235-nucleotide ribosomal RNA is filed under the name uncultured bacterium. Its description in RNAcentral is "partial 16S ribosomal RNA". It matches the Rfam family "Bacterial small subunit ribosomal RNA", at positions 102 to 334 of the family's 1533-position model. The record is from RNAcentral.
GGCGACGGGUGAGUAAUACUUAGGAAUCUGCCCAUUAGUGGGGGACAACUAGAAGAAAUUCUAGCUAAUACCGCAUACGCCCUACGGGGGGAAAGCGGGGGGAUCUUCGGACCUCGCGCUAAUGGAUGAGCCUAAGUCGGAUUAGCUUGUUGGUGAGGUAAAGGCUCACCAAGGCGACGAUCCGUAGCUGGUCUGAGAGGACGAUCAGCCACACUGGGACUGAGACACGGCCCAG